RNAcentral lists this unclassified non-coding RNA (336 nucleotides) under uncultured bacterium. RNAcentral's name for it is "contains 16S-23S intergenic spacer region". The record is from RNAcentral.
UCUCGGCUUAUCACCGGCAGUCCCCCUAGAGUGCCCAACUGAAUGAUGGCAACUAAGGGCGAGGGUUGCGCUCGUUGCGGGACUUAACCCAACAUCUCACGACACGAGCUGACGACAGCCAUGCAGCACCUGUGCAAGCUGCCCUUGCGGGCUCGUCACUCUUUCAAGCUUCUACUACUUGCAUGUCAAGGCCAGGUAAGGUUCUUCGCGUUGCAUCGAAUUAAGCCACAUACUCCACCGCUUGUGCAGGCCCCCGUCAAUUUCUUUGAGUUUUAAUCUUGCGACCGUACUUCCCAGGUGGGAUACUUAAUGCUUUCGCUCAGACACUUACAGUUU